RNAcentral lists this ribosomal RNA (253 nucleotides) under uncultured bacterium. RNAcentral's name for it is "partial 16S ribosomal RNA". It matches the Rfam family "Bacterial small subunit ribosomal RNA", at positions 524 to 776 of the family's 1533-position model. The record is from RNAcentral.
UACGUAGGGGGCUAGCGUUGUCCGGAAUCAUUGGGCGUAAAGCGCGCGUAGGCGGCCCAGUAAGUCCGUUGUAAAAGUCAAAGGCUCAACCUUUGGAAGCCGAUGGAUACUGCUGGGCUAGAGUCCGGAAGAGGCGAGUGGAAUUCCUGGUGUAGCGGUGGAAUGCGCAGAUAUCAGGAGGAACACCGAUAGCGAAGGCAGCUCGCUGGGACGGUACUGACGCUGAGGCGCGAAAGCGUGGGGAGCGAACAGG